GAAAUGCGAUAAGUAGUGUGAAUUGCAGAAUUCAGUGAAUCAUCGAAUCUUUGAACGCACAUUGCGCCCCUUGGUAUUCCAUGGGGCAUGCCUGUUCGAGCGUCAUUUGUACCCUCAAGCUCUGCUUGGUGUUGGGUGUUUGUCCCGUCUCCGCGCGUGGACUCGCCCCAAAGUGAUUGGCAGCCGGCGUACUGGUCCCGGAGCGCAGCACAUGUCGCGCAAACGAGUGCCUUGGUACGGCGGCGUCUAUAAGCCCCUCUCUCACGCUCUUGACCUCGGAUCAGGUAGGGAUACCCGCUGAACUUAAGC
RNAcentral lists this unclassified non-coding RNA (309 nucleotides) under plant metagenome. RNAcentral's name for it is "partial contains 5.8S ribosomal RNA, internal transcribed spacer 2, and large subunit ribosomal RNA". The stretch from base 1 to 105 matches the Rfam family "5.8S ribosomal RNA", at positions 50 to 154 of the family's 154-position model. The record is from RNAcentral.